Molecule: long non-coding RNA, 936 nt
Organism: Pseudophryne corroboree (corroboree frog)
Lineage: Eukaryota; Metazoa; Chordata; Amphibia; Anura; Myobatrachidae
Exons: 4
Source: RefSeq, a predicted model, not a curated record
GUAACUUUCUGAGGGAGUGGACCUGCUUUGCAGGGGUACCUGAGUCCCAGUGUUUCCCAGUGAGUGGUGGGAAGCGAUGGUACUGUGUUGGAGGACAGAGCAGCUGUACUUUACAGCAGCAUUUCUCAGACCCAGCAUCCUCUGGCAGGUGAUUCCCCUCAGAGAGACUGCCAUGUAAAGAGAGAUGGUGAAAGUGACAGAAAGGUAUAAACUGCAGGAGAUCUUUUUGAACUACCCCUGCCACCUGUUCUUUAACAUGAUUAAUCUUCAUCUCUGUGGCUUGCAUUUGGUACUUCCCUGUCUGUGUACAGUUGCUCUAAUAUGCCUGAAUUGUCCCACUGGAAUUCAAUCCAACCAGUUAGGAUGGUGACAACUAGUCUUGCCUAUAUACGCACCUGAAUCGGACACCAGGUUUGCUCCAAAGUGGUUGUGAUUAUGAAUCGUUUCUUCUUCCCAUUGCCCCAUGAAAAUAUUGCCAUAGCUUGGAAUGAACCUGGUGCCCAUAGCAGUCUCUAAAUUUUAUAGAGAAAAGAACAUCAAUUCCCACUAUCCCCAAGGCUGGAUCUUCAAAGUCCCUCACCAGACACAUCACCACCACUAGACAUCAGCCAACCAUCUGCCCAGAUAUCUCAGAGAGACACAAAUUUUCCAGUAGUGACAGUCACAAGGGGUGUCAGAAAUAGAAUUAUAUUGGUGUUUUUCUGAAUUUGCAGAUUGGGGCUACCAUCUCUACAUUGGCAAUUAUAUAGAAGAGAUUGUUUUUUUUUUCACAAGAGAGAAUACUGUAUCAUACAGUAAAUUAUAUUAUGAAAGGAAUCACUGAGUGGUGUAUCUGGAGUGUUUGGCUCUCAUGUAACCAACAGGACCCAUACCCAGCUCAAGAAAUCAUAAGGCUAAUGUUUACAGGUGUCAAUAAAAUUAGUAAUUUUGCAAAAA